GUGAAGUGCUGGUAAAUGUUGAACGAUGGGCUGAGAGUGGAGCAGAGCCCUGACUGGCAGCGUUUGUCAGCUUCCAUGCUGUAAAAUCCUCCCACGAUAGCUGAUUUCAAGCUACCAACAUAAUAUCAACCAGCUCGCACAAUUCCAGAAAUAUAACAACUGGCUCUUGGGAACCACUAUGAGCUGGCUCUGGCACACUCCUGAAUGGAGACCCAAUGCCGGGAAAUGGAUGGAACCACAUACGCAAGAUGUGGGACUGGACUCUGCUGUCUAGGGACUGGCCUCAAAAUGAACCGACUUCUUUAGAACCACAGUGCCCCACCGGUGUCGGUACUGCCAGAGAUGCCCCUUAGAUAUCAG
RNAcentral lists this long non-coding RNA (360 nucleotides) under Equus caballus (horse). Its description in RNAcentral is "lncRNA (ENSECAG00000043902.1)". The record is from RNAcentral. Lineage: Eukaryota; Metazoa; Chordata; Mammalia; Perissodactyla; Equidae.